This 626-nucleotide ribosomal RNA is filed under the name Ciliophora sp. Its description in RNAcentral is "SSU rRNA". Lineage: Eukaryota; Ciliophora. The record is from RNAcentral.
CUACCAUGGCUUUCACGGGUAACGGAGGAUUAGGGUUCGAUUCCGGAGAGGGAGCCUGAGAAACGGCUACCACAUCUAAGGAUGGCAGCAGGCGCGUAAAUUACCCAAUCCUGAUUCAGAGAGGUAGUGACAAGAAAUAACGGACCGGGGUCUUUGGACUUCGGGACCGCAAUGAGCCGAAUGUWCACCCCUUAGCGGGAACCGAUUGGAGGGCAAGUCUGGUGCCAGCAGCCGCGGUAAUUCCAGCUCCAAUAGCGUAUAUUAAAGUUGUUGCAGUUAAAAAGCUCGUAGUUGGAUUUCUGGGAGGGUGCUAAUGCCCGCCGUAGCGCGCGCGCAGCAGCGCCCUUCCAUCCUUUUGUUAACCCCUCUUGGCAUUCAUUUGUUGGUGGCGGGUUCAGAUAUUUUACCUUGAGAAAAUUAGAGUGUUUCAGGCAGGCUAGGCCGGAAUAUAUUAGCAUGGAAUAAUGGAAUAGGACUAUGGUCUCUUUGUUGGUUUGAGGGACUGCAGUAAUGAUUAAUAGGGAUAGUUGGGGGCAUUAGUAUUUAACUGUCAGAGGUGRAAUUCUCGGAUUUGUUAAAGACUAACUUAUGCGAAAGCAUUUGCCAAGGAUGUUUUCAUUAAUCAA